CGUCUUCACAAACUUCCUCGUCAGAUUUUACCUCGAUCAGAGAACCCAUUUGGAAAGAGAGAAUUUUGCCGCCUCUUGAGUUCCUCUGGCUGUGAGGUGUUUACUGCAUUACCCAUUUUUUGGGCGCUCUUCUAGUUUGUAUGUACUCUGCUAGGCAUCUCGACCACCAACCAAAGUACAAGCCUACUUUUACGGAGUGCAAGUUUGGCCAUGGACAUUGAAGUCUUCUUUUCAUUCGUAGAUCGACAAGUUCGAACAAUUUAGCACGCACUAAGUUAUGUCUGAUGAUACCUAAACAUGAUCAAAUAAUG
This 311-nucleotide long non-coding RNA is filed under the name Olea europaea subsp. europaea. Lineage: Eukaryota; Viridiplantae; Streptophyta; Magnoliopsida; Lamiales; Oleaceae. The record is from RNAcentral.